This 100-nucleotide signal recognition particle RNA is filed under the name Caldilineaceae bacterium. RNAcentral's name for it is "signal recognition particle sRNA small type". It matches the Rfam family "Bacterial small signal recognition particle RNA". Rfam says of the family: The signal recognition particle (SRP) is a universally conserved ribonucleoprotein involved in the co-translational targeting of proteins to membranes. Archaeal SRP consists of a 7S RNA and homologues of the eukaryotic SRP19 and SRP54 proteins. The record is from RNAcentral. Lineage: Bacteria; Bacillati; Chloroflexota; Caldilineae; Caldilineales; Caldilineaceae.
GGCUGGGUCCUGUGCGGCAGAACAUCGUGAACCCCGUCAGGGCCGGAAGGCAGCAGCGGUAAGCGAAUCGUUCUGGGUGCCACGGGUACGCCUGGCAUCC